This is a long non-coding RNA of Suricata suricatta (meerkat), 319 nucleotides long. RefSeq lists it as uncharacterized. The transcript has 3 exons. Lineage: Eukaryota; Metazoa; Chordata; Mammalia; Carnivora; Herpestidae. The record is from RefSeq and is a predicted model, not a curated record.
GUCUGCGCCAGGAGGCGGGAUAAUGACCCUUAUUUUCUGAGAGGCUCAAAGCGCUUGCGCCAACCACUUCUCCCACCUUCUUUGUGCGGAAAGAAGGGCUCCGCGCGUGCGCGACGGGUAGUGGGCCUGUAGAGUCCCGCUAAGGGGCGCCAGAGGCGUCAGGAUCGCUGGUGAAUCACACACAGUACGCCGCUCCUCACCAGCUUCUACUUCAGACACUUAAACUUCCAAGAUAGCUUCCUUUUACGGAAGGAUGGAUCAGUUUGACACCUGCUGAUUAAUCUUAACAUCACAGAAGGACAACCAGACAUGACAUGCC